Molecule: ribosomal RNA, 2990 nt
Filed under: Triticum aestivum (bread wheat)
Lineage: Eukaryota; Viridiplantae; Streptophyta; Magnoliopsida; Poales; Poaceae
Description: partial small subunit ribosomal RNA
Source: RNAcentral
CUUUACCAAAGCAGGGAUCUAGUUUUAACAGUGAGGUAGAGAGAGCGCUCGGGAGAGAACGGGGCGCUGAGGAGCGGGGGUGGCGGUGAGUGCGGCCGGCUAAGGCCGCUCAGGGCUACCGUCCACCGUCUGACUGCUGGAGGGGAACGAGACGAGGAAGGAGGGUAGGGAGGUCUAGGCCGGAGGGCGCGAGCGACGGCUGGGAGUCGGUACCGAUCCCAAAGCCCGCGCCGCAGGGGAAGCAGCGGCCGCUCCGAGACCGCCGGACGCCACCGAGCAGGGCGGGUGCACACCGAGGCGGAGUACCUGCAAGGAGGGCGCGGGUGUUACUUUAGGUAAAAGAGAAACACACACACAACCUAAACCUAAAUCUAGCUCCUUCCUCUCUACAGCACCCCUACUCCGCCACCUGUCUCCUUCUCCCGCCUAGACCUAGGUCCGCCGGCACAUAAACUAGACAAACAACUUUACUAGAAUAGAGGAGAGUAGACGGUAGAGAAGAGAGUGACUGGGGCGGAGAGAGCAGAGACGUCCAUCUCACCGGUCUCCUCGUCCGGUUGUAGGGAGAAAUGGAAGGUGGGUUGUGGUUACACCACUCAAAGAGGAGAGGGGGUAGAUGGGGAUCUAGACUUGUAGUUCACGUCAAACAUGCAAAACCAAUAUGAGAUAAAGUCAAACAUGUGUAGAGCAAAACCAAUUUGAGGACAGAAUCUACGGUACCGACUUUGAUCUCGUUUGACACACACACGCAGUGCAAAACCAAGUCAAAACCUACUGACUUUGAUCCAUCUCGUAUGAUACACACACACACAUAGGUAACAUAGUACUGCUUAACUGAACACGAUUUUAAUCUUUACUUUUUUACCAUGUGUCUGUACAAUCAGAUAAAUUGGUGGAAGAGUCUAGUUGAACUGUGUUAUGAUAAACCUACCCAAAAUCAUUAACACCAAUAUAUGAGAUAUUUGAUCCAUCUCGUAUGAUACAACACAACACACGACACGCACAACACGAACAUCCGCGUCAACUCGUUCAAAACCAGUUACAAAGUACCGAGUUAGCUGCUCACCACAAUUUUGUCUUUUAGAACUUUCGUUCAUGAGAGUUAAGUAAGGAGAAAACAACGGCCACGAAUAUAGGAACACCUAUAUGUGUAAAUUAUAGUGUAUACCACGUCUAGAAUUUACUAAGGAUGGAGCUCGAAGGUAGCUUGUGCCGAAGCCAACAAAGAACCAACAAGUUCAUACGAACUACCAAGAAGUAGCUCCCAACUCUACCUGGUACGUGACCAAUGUAGAAGAGGAUAGAGAGGUACAAGAAUUAAAAGAACACGUUACUCACGACCUAAAUCUGUUGUCAAACACGUCAGGUACGAAAAUGUAACUUUUACUCUUCUACUUUACUACCCAAACCUGUCACGACCACAAAGAAAAAAGACCCGUAAUGUAAUGAUUUUACUUGAUAUAAAUGUUAACAACUUGAGGUAUCGAUUAUUCUACUAAUAAAUAAAAAACUCGUAAGCUAUACCUUGUCAAAAUGGUAUACACCGACGAAAGCCCAAUCAUUCAAAACAAGAAGUAAUAUAAAAAGAAUAAUAAGACUUACGGUGGUACCUGAGAAAUCAAAGAAUCAUCAUAUACGAAUUAAACGAAAUGACCUCUGUACGUUAAGGGAGUUUGACGUUCCUUACCACAUUAUAUUCCUCUUUUAGUCUAGACAGAGUGUGGAUGGAAGUUAUUAUUCUCCGGACUAGGAUUAGACAACACGAUGGUACAUGUUUGUAAAUGUUUAAUCUCAGUUCCAAUCUUAGAACAAUAUUGGUAAAUAUUUAAUACACAUGGAACUUGGGUGUACGGUACCAUGGUAAAUUAUUGUACAUGUUUGGUGGUUCCUGAAACGAUCUAAAAAUAUAAAUGUAUCUUGAUUAUAACUAGGUUAGAGUUACGAGAAAAGGAAUUUGACUCAUCCAGUAUAUCUAUCCUCACCUCUUAAUAAAGACUUCACCAGACAGUAUCAAUUAUGUGAGGUCGGGGUUUUUAACUACGAUCUACUGUGACAAUAAAGACGCACAUCGAGUGAUGAACUAAGUGAACAUCUAUCUCGGUAAGGAACGUCUACGGAAGAGGAGAUAACACACCAGUCAAAGAAGUUCAAGACAUCUGUUUUCUUUUUGUUCAAGUAAAAUUAAUGUUACCGAGAGCCAACUUUCAAAAUCGGAGACAUUAACUAGACCCCUAUUGGUAACUGAAGCACAUCCAAUAAACAUCCAAGAAACGGUAAUUAUUGAGUUUAAGUAAUACACAACACAUUGAUCUUGACGUGGAGUUGACUGUCCUUCGUUGUGAACGAUCGUGUAUGUCAAAGAAUAGAUUUAUAAAACAACAGUCAUUCGCUCGUUUAUAACCCUUUUGCUACUUUAUCUUACCUGGAUAGGACAAUCCUAGUAUACUAGGUCAAGGUUCGAAGCUAGAGAACGUUUAUAAUAUUUGUUUCGUAGUACCCUAAUCAAAAAAAAAAAGAUUUAGUCUUCACUUUUUAUGUGAAGUUUCAAAACAACGAAGUAUUUACAACUACAUUCGAAUGGGAGUGUCCAUGAAACAAUCCACUGUGUACGCGGAAGUAAAGUUCACGUUCGGCGGAGAGAGUGACACGUAACAGAGAUCUGCGUGGUGGCAGCCGGCGUCGACGGCUGAUAUGUAUACUAGGUACACAGCACAAAUCAGAGAGACAUUCUGAACUAUACGGACGCAAGGCUGUCUGAGACGGAGAGAAAACCUCUAGUGGGUGGAAAACCUUCUACAAGUAAAAACUAAAGUUGGCGACCUGCUGAGUACAUGAAGACAAUUAUAUCUGGGCGAUCGAACGAGACGAUCGAUACAAAAUACCGACUUGUGAAACGAUGACGUCAAGACAAUUCACAUAAGGAAAAAAUCGUUGACCGCGAGUAAACCUGACGUGUGUCUGCAAUUGUUUAUUAUGUCGUUCUAAUCAUG